GACGAACGCUGGCGGCGUGCUUAACACAUGCAAGUCGAACGGAAAGGCCCUGCUUUUGUGGGGUGCUCGAGUGGCGAACGGGUGAGUAACACGUGAGUAACCUGCCCUUGACUUUGGGAUAACUUCAGGAAACUGGGGCUAAUACCGGAUAGGAGCUCCUGCUGCAUGGUGGGGGUUGGAAAGUUUCGGCGGUUGGGGAUGGACUCGCGGCUUAUCAGCUUGUUGGUGGGGUAGUGGCCUACCAAGGCUUUGGCGGGUAGCCGGCCUGAGAGGGUGACCGGCCACAUUGGGACUGAGAUACGGCCCAGACUCCUACGGGAGGCAGCAGUGGGGAAUAUUGCACAAUGGGCGGAAGCCUGAUGCAGCAACGCCGCGUGCGGGAUGACGGCCUUCGGGUUGUAAACCGCUUUCGCCUGUGACGAAGCGUGAGUGACGGUAAUGGGUAAAGAAGCACCGGCUAACUACGUG
This 468-nucleotide ribosomal RNA is filed under the name uncultured bacterium. Its description in RNAcentral is "partial 16S ribosomal RNA". It matches the Rfam family "Bacterial small subunit ribosomal RNA", at positions 28 to 507 of the family's 1533-position model. The record is from RNAcentral.